UGGGGAAUUUUGGACAAUGGGCGAAAGCCUGAUCCAGCAAUGCCGCGUGUGUGAAGAAGGCCUUCGGGUUGUAAAGCACUUUUGUCCGGAAAGAAAUCCUUGGCUCUAAUACAGUCGGGGGAUGACGGUACCGGAAGAAUAAGCACCGGCUAACUACGUGCCAGCAGCCGCGGUAAUACGUAGGGUGCAAGCGUUAACCGGAAUUACUGGGCGUAAAGCGUGCGCAGGCGGUUUGCUAAGACCGAUGUGAAAUCCCCGGGCUCAACCUGGGAACUGCAUUGGUGACUGGCAGGCUAGAGUAUGGCAGAGGGGGGUAGAAUUCCACGUGUAGCAGUGAAAUGCGUAGAGAUGUGGAGGAAUACCGAUGGCGAAGGCAGCCCCCUGGGCCAAUACUGACGCUCAUGCACGAAAGCGUGGGGAGCAAACAGGAUUAGAUACCCUGGUAGUCCACGCCCUAAAACGAUGUCAACUAGUUGUUGGGGAUUCAUUUCCUUAGUAACGUAGCUAACGCGUGAAGUUGACCGCCUGGGGAGUACGGUCGCAAGAUUAAAACUCAAAGGAAUUGACGGGGUCAUAGCUGUUUCCU
RNAcentral lists this ribosomal RNA (586 nucleotides) under uncultured bacterium. RNAcentral describes it as "partial 16S ribosomal RNA". It matches the Rfam family "Bacterial small subunit ribosomal RNA", at positions 355 to 1375 of the family's 1533-position model. The record is from RNAcentral.